AUUGAACGCUGGCGGCAUGCCUUACACAUGCAAGUCGAACGGUAACAGGUCUUCGGAUGCUGACGAGUGGCGAACGGGUGAGUAAUACAUCGGAACGUGCCCAGACGUGGGGGAUAACGAGGCGAAAGCUUUGCUAAUACCGCAUACGAUCUAAGGAUGAAAGCAGGGGACCGCAAGGCCUUGCGCGUUUGGAGCGGCCGAUGGCAGAUUAGGUAGUUGGUGGGAUAAAAGCUUACCAAGCCGACGACCUGUAGCUGGUCUGAGAGGACGACCAGCCACACUGGGACUGAGACACGGCCCAGACUCCUACGGGAGGCAGCAGUGGGGAAUUUUGGACAAUGGGCGAAAGCCUGAUCCAGCAAUGCCGCGUGCAGGAUGAAGGCCUUCGGGUUGUAAACUGCUUUUGUACGGAACGAAAAGGCUCUGGCUAAUACCUGGGGCACAUGACGGUACCGUAAGAAUAAGCACCGGCUAACUACGUG
RNAcentral lists this ribosomal RNA (482 nucleotides) under uncultured bacterium. RNAcentral describes it as "partial 16S ribosomal RNA". It matches the Rfam family "Bacterial small subunit ribosomal RNA", at positions 30 to 507 of the family's 1533-position model. The record is from RNAcentral.